UUCCCUCGAGCAGACACGGCUCCUCCGUGGGAAAGAACUCCAAACUUUCCGUGCUAUGUUGUUUGAUAAGGCGGCAAAGAAUGAGACUGU
This 90-nucleotide small RNA is filed under the name Arabidopsis thaliana (thale cress). Its description in RNAcentral is "ATSL050710". The record is from RNAcentral. Lineage: Eukaryota; Viridiplantae; Streptophyta; Magnoliopsida; Brassicales; Brassicaceae.